AGUUCAAGAGAACGUGAAACUACCACGAGGUUAAAGCGGAUGUACAUACGUAGCCGACCGGGUGGGCUCAUCUUCUCGAGCCUCCAGCGGUCGUCGCGUUCGGACCGUCGCCUCCCUCGAAUCCCUUUCGGGGGAAACGAAUGGCGUCGGCCGUCGCGACGGCGGACUCGGAGGAGAGAGUGGUGGAUUCCCCUCCUCAGUAGGCAGUCGCGGCCGUUCGAGAGUCGUCUAAGGCCCGGGAGUUGGGAACCGUCCGGCGUUUUACGCGUCGGCGGGGACUCUCCCUCGAUUCUGGCGGACUCUCGGACGGUCGAUGAAAAAUGACGACGUAGCGGAAAGCAAGUCCCUCGUCGUACGCGGCUGUUACGCGAUCGUUCAUCCGUCCCGUCUUGAAACACGGACCAAGGAGUCUAACAUGUACGCGAGUCAACGGGUUGGCUAAACCCCUAGGCGCAACGAAAGUAAAAAAGAAGCUUCUUUUUUUUUUAAAAAUGAAGCUUCGUUGGGUCGAUCCGUGCUCCCCUUAAAAAGGACCGGCGCAGACCCGGGGCUCGCCGCUACCUCCUCGAGAUUCGUCUCGUGGCGGGCGGCGGGCACCUAGAGCGUACAUGCUAGUACCCGAAAGAUGGUGAUCUAUGCCUGGCCAGGAUGAAGCCAGAGGAAACUCUGGUGGAGGUCCGUAGCGAUUCUGACGUGCAAAUCGAUCGUCGGAGCUGGGUAUAGGGGCGAAAGACCAAUCGAACCAUCUAGUAGCU
Molecule: ribosomal RNA, 755 nt
Filed under: Proasellus vandeli
Lineage: Eukaryota; Metazoa; Arthropoda; Malacostraca; Isopoda; Asellidae
Description: eukaryotic LSU rRNA
Rfam family: Eukaryotic large subunit ribosomal RNA
Source: RNAcentral